ACUGAGCCAUCUCGAGUAGGUCCUAUUGAUUCAUCUUUACUUACGAGUUUUAAAACUCACAUAGUAGCUGCAAUUUGGAAUAACCAGGUAAGUUGUUUUACUGUAACAAUAGAAGGCAAAAUAUAAGUCUGGAUAAUGGUAAUUAACCUUCUUUUUUUUUUUUUUUUUUUUUUUGGUAUUUGACUAGGAACGUGAGCUCCUUAGGUGCAUGUCGACAAGAAUGGGCAUCCACAUCACCAAUAUUGACACCUUUUAACAAGAAUUAGCAUCCACAUUUCUUGGUACCACUGUCCCUAGCACACUUUUUCGUAUCAUCAUUUGCAUCUGACCGUACAUCAGUUGUCUCACUAGACUUGCAAGACUUAUAGUUAUCGCUUCUCUCACAAGCAAGUAUUAGUCUAGGUCUCCUUUUACCCUCACCUUCAUAAUCAGACCUUCUAAUUACAAUUACAAUAUUAUUCAUUUUUCCUUGUGCAUGAGCCCAUCUAAUUAAUUCAUCUCUACCAUUAAAUAUCUACACAUUAAACUCAUGUUAUUUAAAGUUA
This 545-nucleotide long non-coding RNA is filed under the name Prunus persica (peach). RNAcentral describes it as "long non-coding RNA (PPER_LNC004906)". The record is from RNAcentral. Lineage: Eukaryota; Viridiplantae; Streptophyta; Magnoliopsida; Rosales; Rosaceae.